UGGUUCUGGCAUCGAUGAAGAACGCAGCGAAAUGCGAUAAGUAAUGUGAAUUGCAGAAUUUAGUGAAUCAUCGAAUCUUUGAACGCACAUUGCGCCCUUUGGUAUUCCGAAGGGCAUGCCUGUUCGAGCGUCAUUACAUCUCUCAAGCAAUGCUUGGUAUUGGACCUAGCCGUUUAUAUGGCUGGCUUUAAAAUUAAUGGUGGUGCUAUCUAGCUCUACGCGUAGUAAAUUUCCUCGCUACUGAGUUAGAUUUGUACCGGCCGUAAACCUUCUACAUCUUUAGUUGACCUCGGAUCAGGUAGGGAUACCCGCUGA
RNAcentral lists this unclassified non-coding RNA (315 nucleotides) under uncultured fungus. RNAcentral describes it as "partial contains 5.8S ribosomal RNA and internal transcribed spacer 2". The stretch from base 1 to 133 matches the Rfam family "5.8S ribosomal RNA", at positions 22 to 154 of the family's 154-position model. Lineage: Eukaryota; Fungi. The record is from RNAcentral.